AGGCUUUGAAGUGUGGACGCCAGUCUGCAUGGAGCCGACCUUGAAAUACCACCCUUUAAUGUUUGAUGUUCUAACGUGGACCCGUAAUCCGGGUUGCGGACAGUGUCUGGUGGGUAGUUUGACUGGGGCGGUCUCCUCCUAAAGAGUAACGGAGGAGCACGAAGGUUGGCUAAUCCUGGUCGGACAUCAGGAGGUUAGUGCAAUGGCAUAAGCCAGCUUGACUGCGAGCGUGACGGCGCGAGCAGGUGCGAAAGCAGGUCAUAGUGAUCCGGUGGUUCUGAAUGGAAGGGCCAUCGCUCAACGGAUAAAAGGUACUCCGGGGAUAACAGGCUGAUACCGCCCAAGAGUUCAUAUCGACGGCGGUGUUUGGCACCUCGAUGUCGGCUCAUCACAUCCUGGGGCUGAAGUAGGUCCCAAGGGUAUGGCUGUUCGCCAUUUAAAGUGGUACGCGAGCUGGGUUUAGAACGUCGUGAGACAGUUCGGUCCCUAUCUGCCGUGGGCGCUGGAGAACUGAGGGGGGCUGCUCCUAGUACGAGAGGACCGGAGUGGACGCAUCACUGGUGUUCGGGUUGUCAUGCCAAUGGCACUGCCCGGUAGCUAAAUGCGGAAGAGAUAAGUGCUGAAAGCAUCUAAGCACGAAACUUGCCCCGAGAUGAGUUCUCCCUGAGACUUAGAGUCUCCUGAAGGAACGUUGAAGACGACGACGUUGAUAGGCCGGGUGUGUAAGCGCAGCGAUGCGUUGAGCUAACCGGUACUAAUGAACCGUGAGGCUUAACCUUACA
This 782-nucleotide ribosomal RNA is filed under the name Salmonella enterica. RNAcentral describes it as "bacterial LSU rRNA". It matches the Rfam family "Bacterial large subunit ribosomal RNA", at positions 2152 to 2925 of the family's 2925-position model. Lineage: Bacteria; Pseudomonadati; Pseudomonadota; Gammaproteobacteria; Enterobacterales; Enterobacteriaceae. The record is from RNAcentral.